UAUUACAAUGAAGAGUUUGAUCCUGGCUCAGGAUGAACGCUAGCUACAGGCUUAACACAUGCAAGUCGAGGGGCAGCAUGGUCUUAGCUUGCUAAGGCCG
This 100-nucleotide ribosomal RNA is filed under the name Phocaeicola vulgatus. Its description in RNAcentral is "Bacteroides vulgatus partial 16S ribosomal RNA". Lineage: Bacteria; Pseudomonadati; Bacteroidota; Bacteroidia; Bacteroidales; Bacteroidaceae. The record is from RNAcentral.